AGAGUUUGAUCAUGGCUCAGACGAACGCUGCGGCGUGCUAAUACAUGCAAGUCGAGCGAGCGGAACCAACAAGAUUUACUUCGGUAAUGACGUUGGGAAAGCGAGCGGCGGAUGGGUGAGUAACACGUGGGGAACCUGCCCCUAAGUCUGGGAUACCAUUUGGAAACAGGUGCUAAUACCGGAUAAUAAAGCAGAUCGCAUGAUCAGCUUUUGAAAGGUGGCGUAAGCUGUCGCUAAGGGAUGGCCCCGCGGUGCAUUAGCUAGUUGGUAAGGUAACGGCUUACCAAGGCGACGAUGCAUAGCCGAGUUGAGAGACUGAUCGGCCACAUUGGGACUGAGACACGGCCCAAACUCCUACGGGAGGCAGCAGUAGGGAAUCUUCCACAAUGGACGCAAGUCUGAUGGAGCAACGCCGCGUGAGUGAAGAAGGUUUUCGGAUCGUAAAGCUCUGUUGUUGGUGAAGAAGGAUAGAGGUAGUAACUGGCCUUUAUUUGACGGUAAUCAACCAGAAAGUCACGGCUAACUACGUGCCAGCAGCCGCGGUAAUACGUAGGUGGCAAGCGUUGUCCGGAUUUAUUGGGCGUAAAGCGAGCGCAGGCGGAAAAAUAAGUCUAAUGUGAAAGCCCUCGGCUUAACCGAGGAACUGCAUCGGAAACUGUUUUUCUUGAGUGCAGAAGAGGAGAGUGGAACUCCAUGUGUAGCGGUGGAAUGCGUAGAUAUAUGGAAGAACACCAGUGGCGAAGGCGGCUCUCUGGUCUGCAACUGACGCUGAGGCUCGAAAGCAUGGGUAGCGAACAGGAUUAGAUACCCUGGUAGUCCAUGCCGUAAACGAUGAGUGCUAAGUGUUGGGAGGUUUCCGCCUCUCAGUGCUGCGGCUAACGCAUUAAGCACUCCGCCUGGGGAGUACGACCGCAAGGUUGAAACUCAAAGGAAUUGACGG
This 940-nucleotide ribosomal RNA is filed under the name uncultured bacterium. RNAcentral describes it as "bacterial SSU rRNA". It matches the Rfam family "Bacterial small subunit ribosomal RNA", at positions 8 to 916 of the family's 1533-position model. The record is from RNAcentral.